RNAcentral lists this ribosomal RNA (467 nucleotides) under Pomacea insularum. RNAcentral describes it as "partial 16S ribosomal RNA". It matches the Rfam family "Bacterial large subunit ribosomal RNA", at positions 1848 to 2583 of the family's 2925-position model. The record is from RNAcentral. Lineage: Eukaryota; Metazoa; Mollusca; Gastropoda; Architaenioglossa; Ampullariidae.
AAGAGUCUAGCCUGCCCAGUGAUUUUUUUAACGGCCGCGGUACUUUGACCGUGCAAAGGUAGCAUAAUCAUUUGCCUUAUAAUUGAAGGCUAGUAUGAAAGGUUUAACGAAAGUUAAGCUGUCUUUUUUUGUAUAAAAUGAAAUUAACUUAUAAGUGCAAAGGCUUAUAUAUGACUAGAAGACAAGAAGACCCUAUUGAGCUUAUAAAAAUAUUAUGGAGUAAAGUAUAUAUAAAAAUUCUAAUCUUUUUAAAUUUUUAGUUGGGGCGACUUAGGAAUCAAAAAAACUUCCUAGUAUUAAAGUUACUUUUAUAUUUUAUCCAAAAUUUUUUGAUUAUCAGAAUUAGUUACCAUAGGGAUAACAGCAUAAUCUUUCUUAGGAGUUCUAAUCGAAAGAAAGGAUUGUGACCUCGAUGUUGGACUAGAAUAUCCUAAAGGUGCAGAAGCUUUUGAGGGUUGGUCUGUUCG